UGCUGAUUUUCUCAGUGGUUUAUAAGGUUAUGAAGGGUGAGACUUUCUCCCAAUUAUGACAGAUUGGGCUAAGAUUCGAAUUAUUAAUAUGGUCCCUUUAUUUUGCAGAGAAGCAGGCAACGUGGCUCCCAGGAAAAUGGCUUGAACAGAACCCAUGAGAGGAAGGCUGUCAGUUCAUGGAAGGGUUAUUCAUGAUAAUUUAUCAUUGAGGUCUGGCAGCCAAGAUGGCCGAAUAGGAACAGCUCUGGUCUACAGCUCCCAGCGUGAGCGACGCAGAAGACGGGU
Molecule: long non-coding RNA, 285 nt
Filed under: Homo sapiens (human)
Lineage: Eukaryota; Metazoa; Chordata; Mammalia; Primates; Hominidae
Description: HSALNT0041910
Source: RNAcentral